RNAcentral lists this transfer RNA (64 nucleotides) under Thysanoessa raschii. RNAcentral describes it as "tRNA-Thr". It matches the Rfam family "tRNA". From Rfam's summary of the family: Transfer RNA (tRNA) molecules are approximately 80 nucleotides in length. Lineage: Eukaryota; Metazoa; Arthropoda; Malacostraca; Euphausiacea; Euphausiidae. The record is from RNAcentral.
GUUUUAAUAGUUUAAAUAAAAACAUUGGUCUUGUAAAUCAAAGAUAAAAAGUUUUUUUAAAACA